Molecule: ribosomal RNA, 253 nt
Filed under: uncultured bacterium
Lineage: Bacteria
Description: partial 16S ribosomal RNA
Rfam family: Bacterial small subunit ribosomal RNA
Source: RNAcentral
GACGGAGGAUGCAAGUGUUAUCCGGAAUCACUGGGCGUAAAGCGUCUGUAGGUGGUCAAAUAAGUCAACUGUUAAAUCUUGAGGCUCAACCUCAAAAUCGCAGUCGAAACUAUUAGACUAGAGUAUAGUAGGGGUAAAGGGAAUUUCCAGUGGAGCGGUGAAAUGCGCAGAGAUUGGAAAGAACACCGAUGGCGAAGGCACUUUACUGGGCUAUUACUAACACUCAGAGACGAAAGCUAGGGUAGCAAAUGGG